AGAUCAUCAGCUGCAACUAAAUUCCCUGGUCUUUGUUUGGCUCCUUCUUUGAUAUUCUAUGUUGGUUUGGUUGGCAGCUGGAUCUGAAAUUGGGUAGACAUGGAUCGAAAGAGAAAGAGGAAGAUUGUGACAACUCUAGUUGCAGUAGAGUUAGA
Molecule: long non-coding RNA, 155 nt
Organism: Prunus persica (peach)
Lineage: Eukaryota; Viridiplantae; Streptophyta; Magnoliopsida; Rosales; Rosaceae
Exons: 2
Source: RefSeq, a predicted model, not a curated record